Molecule: long non-coding RNA, 288 nt
Filed under: Mytilus galloprovincialis (Mediterranean mussel)
Lineage: Eukaryota; Metazoa; Mollusca; Bivalvia; Mytilida; Mytilidae
Source: RNAcentral
CUGUUAGGUUGCAAAAAUAGGAAUAAACGUUGUAGAUAUUUUUAAAUUAUCUUUAUAAGAAUUAUGUGAACAAAAUAUACUCUGUAUUAAAGUGAAACAAAAUGUUUGUCAAAUAAACAGAUAGUUACUUGUUAGAAUACUUACUCAGAUUAAAGUCUGUUAGGGUGCUGUUAUACCCUGUUCAUACAAGCUUAUUGCCAACAGGGCAUUCACUUUUUUAUUUUAUAUUGUUUGUUUUUCCUCAGUAUUAUUAUGUUAAAUAUUGAUGUAUUUACUUUAUUAUUAGUG